Molecule: ribosomal RNA, 786 nt
Filed under: uncultured bacterium
Lineage: Bacteria
Description: bacterial SSU rRNA
Rfam family: Bacterial small subunit ribosomal RNA
Source: RNAcentral
AGAGUUUGAUCCUGGCUCAGGAUGAACGCUAGCGGCAGGCUUAACACAUGCAAGUCGAGGGGCAUCGGGAGUAGCAAUACUUGCCGGCGACCGGCGCAAGGGUGCGUAACGCGUGAGCAACAUGCCCGUAUCAGGGGGAUAAUCCAUGGAAACGUGGUCUAAUACCCCAUAGUAAUUAUGUAAGGCAUCUUAUAUAAUUUAAAGCUUUGGUGGAUACGGAUUGGCUCGCGUGACAUUAGCUGGAUGGUAAGGUAACGGCUUACCAUGGCUACGAUGUCUAGGGGUUCUGAGAGGAAGGUCCCCCACACUGGAACUGAGACACGGUCCAGACUCCUACGGGAGGCAGCAGUGAGGAAUAUUGGACAAUGGAUGGAAAUCUGAUCCAGCCAUGCCGCGUGCAGGAAGACGGCCCUAUGGGUUGUAAACUGCUUUUGUAUGGGAGCAAUAAGGGCUACGUGUAGUCCGAUGAGAGUACCAUACGAAUAAGCACCGGCUAACUCCGUGCCAGCAGCCGCGGUAAUACGGAGGGUGCAAGCGUUAUCCGGAUUUAUUGGGUUUAAAGGGUGCGUAGGCGGUUUGAUAAGUCAGCGGUGAAAUAUUUCAGCUUAACUGGAAGGGUGCCGUUGAUACUGUCGAGCUUGAAUUUAGUUGCUGUGGGUGGAAUGUGUGGUGUAGCGGUGAAAUGCAUAGAUAUCACACAGAAUAUCGAUUGCGAAGGCAGCUCACAAAGCUAAUAUUGACGCUGAUGCACGAAAGUGUGGGGAUCAAACAGGAUUAGAUACCCUG